This 402-nucleotide long non-coding RNA is filed under the name Homo sapiens (human). Its description in RNAcentral is "HSALNT0344847". Lineage: Eukaryota; Metazoa; Chordata; Mammalia; Primates; Hominidae. The record is from RNAcentral.
UACGUCUCACAAGGUCUGAUGGUUUUAAAAAGGGUAGUUUCCCUGCAGAAGCUCUCUCUUUCUCUGCUUCCAUCCAGCUGAGACAUGACUUGCUUUUUCUUGCCUUCUAACAUGAUUGUGAGGCUUCCUCAGCUACGUGGAAAUAAACUCCUGGAGGGCAGAUGCAUGCCUGCCAUCUUCAUCGUUUCAUUACCACCAUCCAACACUAUCGGGGGACCUGCCCUGAUAAUCAGUCUACAGGUGUAUCCAGCAGCUCCAGAGAGACAGCGACCAGCGAGAAGGGGCCAUGAUGAUGGUGGUGGUUUUGUCAAAAUGAAAAGGGGGAUAUGUAGGGAAAAGAAAGAGAGAUCAGACUGUUACUGUGUCUACAUAGAAAGGGAAGCCAUAAGAGACUCCAUUUUG